CUCAUGGUUUCACGGUAUUGCAAUGAGAACAAUUUAAAACCCUUAGCGAGAAUCAAGUGGAGGACAAGUCUGGUGCCAGCACCCGCGGUAAUUCCAGCUCCACUAGCGUAUAUUAAAGUUGUUGCAGUCAAAAAGCUCGUAGUUGAACCUCUGUCUGGGGCUAGUUUUGGCUUUGGUCAGGCUAGUUCUAGGCAUCCGCCUACAAGACUUAGAGGGCAUUCAGUUGUUCACUAGGAGGAGUAGGCAUUUUACUUUGAAAAAAUUAGAGUGUUUAAGGCAGGCAAUCGCCCGCAUAUAUUAGCAUGGAAUAAUAGAAUAGGACACUUUUCCAUUUCGUUGGUUAUUGGAAUCGUGUAAUGAUUAAUAGGGAUAGUUGUGGGCAUUUGUAUUUAAUUGUCAGAGGUGAAAUUCUUGGAUUUAUUAAAGAUAAAUUAAUGUGAAAGUAUUUGCCAAGGAUGUUUUCAUUAAUCAAGAAUGAAAGUUAGGGGAUUAAAGAUGAUCAGAUACCGUCCUAGUCUUAACUAUAAACUAUUCCGACUCAAUGUUUGACUGGCUUAUAUAACCAGUUGAGCGUUGUAUGAGAAAUCAAAGUCUUUAGGUUCUGGGGGGAGUAUGGUUGCAAAGCUGAAACUUAAAGGAAUUGACGGAAGAGCACAACCAGGAGUGGAUUCUGCGGCUUAAUUUGACUCAACACGGGGAAACUUACCAGGUUAAAACAAUAGUGGGAUUGACAGUUUGAGAGCGCUUUCUUGAUUGGUUGGGUGGUGGUGCAUGGCCGUUCUUAGUUGGUGGAGUGAUUUGUCUGCUUAAUUGCGUUAACGAUCGAGACCUUAACCUGCUUACUAGACUGGCGAUCAUCAAUCGUUAGCUCUUCUUAGAGGGACUUUGGUUGUUUUAACUCCAAGGAAGUUUGAGGCAAUAACAGGUCUGUGAUGCCCUUAGAUAUCCUGGGCCGCACGCGUCAUACAAUGACUAGUUCAGAAAGUUUUCUCCUGACCCGAAAGGGGAUGGGUAAUCUUGAUAAUACUAGUCGUGUUAGGGAUCGAUCUUUGCAAUUAUAGAUCUUGAACGAGGAAUUCCUAGUAAGUGCGGUUCAUCAGACCGUACUGAUUACGUCCCUGCUCUUUGUACACACCGCCCGUCGCUUCUACCGAGUGGGUGGUCCGGUGAGAUAAUUGAACUUCGCAGGUAACUGAGAGGAAAGAUUAUCAAACCUAUCCACCU
Molecule: ribosomal RNA, 1224 nt
Filed under: metagenome
Description: SSU rRNA
Rfam family: Eukaryotic small subunit ribosomal RNA
Source: RNAcentral